Molecule: long non-coding RNA, 548 nt
Organism: Planococcus citri (citrus mealybug)
Lineage: Eukaryota; Metazoa; Arthropoda; Insecta; Hemiptera; Pseudococcidae
Exons: 2
Source: RefSeq, a predicted model, not a curated record
AGCCUAUGAAAUGAAUGCAUAAAUCUCCAUUUUCACGAGUUCAUAAAAUUACCUAUGUUAUUCAACGACAUUUUUUUGUUUAUGCGUCCUGGUGAGUUAAUUUUGCCAUACGACUUUACUUUUCAAUGAGAACCAACAUCAAGUUUACCUGCAGCGAUUAGUUAACUUUUGCAGCCUAGGCUUCGCGAAACUAUUCGUAUCAUUUUCUGCAGUCAAAAGCUGACGUUUUGGCCAUAGCAUUACAACUAAUAAUAAACACAAAAAACGAUGAAUUUGGAUGAUGUAAUUUUGUAUUUGAUUACCACAGCAUACGUAUUCAUAGUAGCAUCUUCGCUCAUCUGUGUAGUAAUUCAUCUUUAUAAGUUUUUUCGAAGUAGCAAUACUCGUAAUUUGGCCACAAAAAAUUUAACGUUUUAUUGUACUUUUCUGUUAUUUGAUUAUGUUUGCAUUUUAGUAGACAUGCUACAAAAAAUUUUAUUUUUUUUUGGAUAUUUUUCAAGGUAUGAUGAAAAAUAUAUUACCGCAAUUGAGAUUUACCUGGACCUUAA